This 198-nucleotide ribosomal RNA is filed under the name uncultured bacterium. RNAcentral describes it as "partial 16S ribosomal RNA". It matches the Rfam family "Bacterial small subunit ribosomal RNA", at positions 326 to 539 of the family's 1533-position model. The record is from RNAcentral.
ACGCUCGACACCUACGGAAGGCAGCAGUGGGGAAUAUUGCACAAUGGAGGAAACUCUGAUGCAGCGAUGCCGCGUGAGGGAAGAAGGUUUUCGGAUUGUAAACCUCUGUCUUUGGGGACGAUAAUGACGGUACCCAAGGAGGAAGCUCCGGCUAACUACGUGCUAGCAGCCGCGGUAAUCUGAGCGGGCUGGCAAGGC